This 1346-nucleotide ribosomal RNA is filed under the name uncultured bacterium. Its description in RNAcentral is "partial 16S ribosomal RNA". It matches the Rfam family "Bacterial small subunit ribosomal RNA", at positions 28 to 1381 of the family's 1533-position model. The record is from RNAcentral.
GACGAACGCUGGCGGCGUGCUUAACACAUGCAAGUCGAACGGAAAGGCCCUGCUUUUGUGGGGUGCUCGAGUGGCGAACGGGUGAGUAACACGUGAGUAACCUGCCCUUGACUUUGGGAUAACUUCAGGAAACUGGGGCUAAUACCGGAUAGGAGCUCCUGCUGCAUGGUGGGGGUUGGAAAGUUUCGGCGGUUGGGGAUGGACUCGCGGCUUAUCAGCUUGUUGGUGGGGUAGUGGCUUACCAAGGCUUUGACGGGUAGCCGGCCUGAGAGGGUGACCGGCCACAUUGGGACUGAGAUACGGCCCAGACUCCUACGGGAGGCAGCAGUGGGGAAUAUUGCACAAUGGGCGGAAGCCUGAUGCAGCAACGCCGCGUGCGGGAUGACGGCCUUCGGGUUGUAAACCGCUUUCGCCUGUGACGAAGCGUGAGUGACGGUAAUGGGUAAAGAAGCACCGGCUAACUACGUGCCAGCAGCCGCGGUGAUACGUAGGGUGCGAGCGUUGUCCGGAUUUAUUGGGCGUAAAGGGCUCGUAGGUGGUUGAUCGCGUCGGAAGUGUAAUCUUGGGGCUUAACCCUGAGCGUGCUUUCGAUACGGGUUGACUUGAGGAAGGUAGGGGAGAAUGGAAUUCCUGGUGGAGCGGUGGAAUGCGCAGAUAUCAGGAGGAACACCAGUGGCGAAGGCGGUUCUCUGGGCCUUUCCUGACGCUGAGGAGCGAAAGCGUGGGGAGCGAACAGGCUUAGAUACCCUGGUAGUCCACGCUGUAAACGGUGGGUACUAGGUGUGGGGUCCAUUCCACGGGUUCCGUGCCGUAGCUAACGCUUUAAGUACCCCGCCUGGGGAGUACGGCCGCAAGGCUAAAACUCAAAGGAAUUGACGGGGCCCCGCACAAGCGGCGGAGCAUGCGGAUUAAUUCGAUGCAACGCGUAGAACCUUACCUGGGUUUGACAUGGAUCGGGAGUGCUCAGAGAUGGGUGUGCCUCUUUUGGGGUCGGUUCACAGGUGGUGCAUGGCUGUCGUCAGCUCGUGUCGUGAGAUGUUGGGUUAAGUCCCGCAACGAGCGCAACCCUUGUUCACUGUUGCCAGCACGUUAUGGUGGGGACUCAGUGGAGACCGCCGGGGUCAACUCGGAGGAAGGUGGGGAUGACGUCAAGUCAUCAUGCCCCUUAUGUCCAGGGCUUCACGCAUGCUACAAUGGCUGGUACAGAGAGUGGCGAGCCUGUGAGGGUGAGCGAAUCUCGGAAAGCCGGUCUCAGUUCGGAUUGGGGUCUGCAACUCGACCUCAUGAAGUCGGAGUCGCUAGUAAUCGCAGAUCAGCAACGCUGCGGUGAAUAAAAGCCCGGGGCU